ACACUUCCUCCACUUGAGUUCUGGUAAUUUUUGAAAAACCGUUUGUCAAAACACACAUGUACGUUUGCCCCAAAAUCUAACCACCAAUCACUAUUACUUAAACAUGCGACAUUAACUAGAGGCUUAAAACUAUACCUUAGAUUGGGUUCAUCUUGAUCAUCUUGAUCCACCAACACAUUCACUUGGGCUUUAGGACCACUUUGUCCUUUGUUCCACUUAGACUUGGGCUUGUAGGGCUCGGUCUUCUUGUAAUGACAGUCUUUGGCCCAAUGAUUUGUUCUUCCACAAACGAAGCAUGGUUGAUCCCUAUUGCCAUUGGAAUUGUUAUGGGGUCUAUUGUGCUGGCGAUUUUGGUUUCGGUUG
Molecule: long non-coding RNA, 363 nt
Filed under: Prunus persica (peach)
Lineage: Eukaryota; Viridiplantae; Streptophyta; Magnoliopsida; Rosales; Rosaceae
Description: long non-coding RNA (PPER_LNC008022)
Source: RNAcentral